RNAcentral lists this ribosomal RNA (253 nucleotides) under uncultured bacterium. RNAcentral describes it as "partial 16S ribosomal RNA". It matches the Rfam family "Bacterial small subunit ribosomal RNA", at positions 524 to 776 of the family's 1533-position model. The record is from RNAcentral.
UACGGAGGGGACUAGCGUUGUUCGGAAUUACUGGGCGUAAAGCGCACGUAGGCGGAUUUGUAAGUCAGGGGUGAAAUCCCGAGGCUCAACCUCGGAACUGCCUUUGAUACUGCAAAUCUCGAGUCCGGAAGAGGUGAGUGGAAUUCCUAGUGUAGAGGUGAAAUUCGUAGAUAUUAGGAAGAACACCAGUGGCGAAGGCGGCUCACUGGUCCGGUACUGACGCUGAGACACGAAAGCGUGGGGAGCAAACAGG